CAAUAUCAUCUCAGAAACGCGUGUGCUUCUCAAAACCUACAGCAGAGGACGACACUUUCCAUCUUUAUUUUAGAGCGUGGUCUACGUUGCUCUUCAUUGGAAGGGCAAACUGCAGUUUUAUGGUGAAGAUAAUGACACUGUCAUGUCAUUACGAGUUACUAGGGUGAUGAUCAUACGUAAUUAAUUACCCGAUGCGCACCAUGGGGACCAAAUAAAGGAUAAUUUCCAGAUAAAAAGUAUGCUGCUUGGACAUGAUGCCUAGGCAUUGCGACUCAAAGUCAGUAUCUGACCAAUUAAGGGUUUUGAGGACUGUUGAAUUUCGGGAGCUUCUGCAGGAUGAGGAAUAAAUUAGGCAGAUCAUCAGAUUCAGCCAAAAGGCUCUCUCACAGAAAUUCACAGAUGGGAGAAUAUCCCUGGAGAAUUUUGUGGAGUCCUGUCAAAGAUCUUGUAAGGUCUACCAUGUCCGUCUGGUUCAUCAAGCCGGAACAGAAACCCCAAAGGCCCACUGAGAAUCACAAUAGUAGGGAGCCUCCAUCAGUUGACUUCCCCCUGAGCCCCCCUCCUAAUAUUUGCCAUGUUUUCUAUGGUCUCACCUCUGCUAUUAUUCUGCUUAACGUCUACCACUCCUUCAGCUCUGCUCCAGUCCACUGCCGGAUGGGUCCAUAUCAACCGCCCCUGAGUGACCACAUCAACAUUGCUAAACCUGAGGCCUACAGCCUUGCCUUUUGACACUGGCCAGCCUGUAGGCCUUAGAGUGUAUGGAAAGGGUCAUGCUCCCAGUUGGCCAGCCAGACCUGUACGUCUGCAGCGACUCAACAACAUAUAGCCUAGACAUCAUCAGCAGGACCCACUGCCACAUUGACACUGUUGGAUAGAAAGGGCAACUGUUACUCUUUGGACUAUAAUGAAUUUAUGUACUUUAUGAUUGUCUGUAAAAUAGCACCACAUAGUUGAAACAAGUUGAUUAAGAAGGGUGAAUAAAGACAACACCUUGUGGGUUUUGUUUUAUAUCCAGGCUCCCCUAAAACAUGUCAUUGUAACAUCAUACUGUAGGCAUCAAUGCUUUCUUGGGGUAGGAAACCCCUGAACUCACUGUGCCUCAGUGCAGUAGGUCACAAGGUGUACUUAAACUCUUCACCUAGCUACACUUGAUAGCUCAGAUCAUCCUCUCUCCACAGAGACUCCUGCUAAGGUCAGCCAAGGACCACGUCUGGAACUGUCAAACUGCAAGCUUUUUCAAGCCUCUAAAUCACACUUUCUCUAUAAUUUUUAUUACAUCCAAAACCAAUGUUGAUUCAUUGUUCCUAAAAUUCAUACUGAAAGCAUAGUUGCCUGAUUCCAUUGAAUGACUAACACUCUGCCUACCGUACUCAGUGGUUGUCGUUUGUUCCCCCAGUUAUGUGGAUCACCAGACCAAGGAUUCGCCUGAUCAGCCAUAAGGUUAGCCAGACUGCCAUCUAGCCUAAUCAAGCUCACUGCACUAGUUAGCUGUCAGAGAGAGGCCAGUGAGUUUACAGGAGCUCAUUAGUGAUGCAGUGUCACGUCCUGACCCUAGUAAGAUGUCAUUUUCUAUAGUAGAGUAGGUCAGGGUGUGUUUUGUGUUGUUCUAUGUUUUCUAUUUCUAUGUUUAAGUUCUAGUUUUUCUAUAUCUAUGUUGGGGUUGUUUCGGUUAAUCUCCAAUUGGAGGCAGCUGAUCCUCGUUGCCUCUGAUUGGAGAUCAUAUUUAAGUAGGGGUUUUCUUCCUGGGUUUUGUUUUCUAUUUAGUGUAUGUCACCUGACGGAACUGCUGUCGGUCGUUUUGUUUAAGUAUAUUCAUUAAAAGUAAAUAUGAGCACUCUA
Molecule: long non-coding RNA, 1839 nt
Filed under: Salmo salar (Atlantic salmon)
Lineage: Eukaryota; Metazoa; Chordata; Actinopteri; Salmoniformes; Salmonidae
Description: lncRNA (ENSSSAG00000102617.1)
Source: RNAcentral